CCAGGCUGUGAUGAUAAACUUGCCCUCACUGAGUAUUGAUCUGACUGAGUUUUUGUUUACUGAGCCUUA
Small nucleolar RNA from Poecilia latipinna (sailfin molly), 69 nucleotides. Lineage: Eukaryota; Metazoa; Chordata; Actinopteri; Cyprinodontiformes; Poeciliidae. The record is from Ensembl.